CCUACGGGUGGCUGCAGUGAGGAAUAUUGGUCAAUGGUCGCGAGCCUGAACCAGCCAAGUAGCGUGAAGGAUGACUGCCCUACGGGUUGUAAACUUCUUUUGUAAAGGAAUAAAGUGAGGCACGUGUGCCCUUUUGUGUGUACUUUAUGAAUAAGGAUCGGCUAACUCCGUGCCAGCAGCCGCGGUAAUACGGAGGAUCCGAGCGUUAUCCGGAUUUAUUGGGUUUAAAGGGCGCGUAGAUGGUUUGUUAAGUCAGUUGUGAAAGUUUGCGGCUCAACCGUAAAAUUGCAGUUGAUACUGGCAGUCUUGAGUACAGUUGAGGUAGGCGGAAUGCGUGGUGUAGCGGUGAAAUGCUUAGAUAUCACGAAGAACUCCGAUUGCGAAGGCAGCUUACUAAGCUAUCACUGACACUGAUGCUCGAAAGUGUGGGUAUCAAACAGGAUUAGAUACCCGAGUAGUC
Molecule: ribosomal RNA, 460 nt
Filed under: uncultured bacterium
Lineage: Bacteria
Description: partial 16S ribosomal RNA
Rfam family: Bacterial small subunit ribosomal RNA
Source: RNAcentral